UUAAGUUAGAAAGGGCGCACGGUGAAUGCCUUGGCACUAGGAGCCGAUGAAGGACGGGACUAACACCGAUAUGCUUCGGGGAGCUGUAAGUGAGCUUUGAUCCGGAGAUUUCCGAAUGGGGAAACCCACUGUUCGUAAUGGAACAGUAUCUUUAUCUGAAUACAUAGGAUAUUGAAGGCAGACCCGGGGAACUGAAACAUCUAAGUACCCGGAGGAAGAGAAAGCAAAUGCGAUUUCCUGAGUAGCGGCGAGCGAAACGGAAUUAGCCCAAACCAAGAGGCUUGCCUCUUGGGGUUGUAGGACACUCUAUACGGAGUUACAAAGGAACGAAGUAAAUGAAGCGACCUGGAAAGGUCCGUCGAAGAAGGUAACAACCCUGUAGUUGAAACUUCGUUCCCUCUUGAGUGGAUCCUGAGUACGGCGGAACACGUGAAAUUCCGUCGGAAGCUGGGAGGACCAUCUCCCAAGGCUAAAUACUACCUAGUGACCGAUAGUGAACCAGUACCGUGAGGGAAAGGUGAAAAGCACCCCGGAAGGGGAGUGAAAGAGAUCCUGAAACCGUGUGCCUACAAGUAGUCAGAGCCCGUUAACGGGUGAUGGCGUGCCUUUUGUAGAAUGAACCGGCGAGUUACGAUCCCAUGCAAGGUUAAGCUGAUAAGGCGGAGCCGUAGCGAAAGCGAGUCUGAAUAGGGCGUUUAGUAUGUGGUUGUAGACCCGAAACCAGGUGAUCUACCCAUGUCCAGGGUGAAGUUCAGGUAACACUGAAUGGAGGCCCGAACCCACGCACGUUGAAAAGUGCGGGGAUGAGGUGUGGGUAGCGGAGAAAUUCCAAUCGAACCUGGAGAUAGCUGGUUCUCUCCGAAAUAGCUUUAGGGCUAGCCUCAUGUUGUGAGAGUCUUGGAGGUAGAGCACUGAUUGGACUAGGGGCCCCCAACGGGUUACCGAAUUCAGUCAAACUCCGAAUGCCAAAGACUUAUCCAUGGGAGUCAGACUGCGAGUGAUAAGAUCCGUAGUCAAAAGGGAAACAGCCCAGACCACCAGCUAAGGUCCCCAAGUAUACGUUAAGUGGAAAAGGAUGUGGAGUUGCUUAGACAACCAGGAUGUUGGCUUAGAAGCAGCCACCAUUUAAAGAGUGCGUAAUAGCUCACUGGUCGAGUGACUCUGCGCCGAAAAUGUACCGGGGCUAAACGUAUCACCGAAGCUGUGGAUUGACAUCUUUGAUGUCAGUGGUAGGAGAGCGUUCUAAGUGCAGCGAAGUCAGACCGUAAGGACUGGUGGAGCGCUUAGAAGUGAGAAUGCCGGUAUGAGUAGCGAAAGACAAGUGAGAAUCUUGUCCACCGAAUGCCUAAGGUUUCCUGAGGAAGGCUCGUCCGCUCAGGGUUAGUCGGGACCUAAGCCGAGGCUGAAAAGCGUAGGCGAUGGCCAACAGGUUGAUAUUCCUGUACCACCUCCCCGCCGUUUGAGUAAUGGGGGGACGCAGUAGGAUAGGGUAAGCGCGCUGCUGGAUAUGCGCGUUCAAGCAGUUAGGCUGAUGAGUAGGCAAAUCCGCUCAUCAUGAAGGCUGAGCUGUGAUGACGAGGGAAUUAUAGUACCGAAGUUCCUGAUUCCACACUGCCAAGAAAAGCCUCUAGCGAGGCGGGAGGUGCCCGUACCGCAAACCGACACAGGUAGGCGAGGAGAGAAUCCUAAGGUGAUCGAGAGAACUCUCGUUAAGGAACUCGGCAAAAUGACCCCGUAACUUCGGGAGAAGGGGUGCUCUGGUAGGGUGUAUAGCCCGAGAGAGCCGCAGUGAAUAGGCCCAGGCGACUGUUUAGCAAAAACACAGGUCUCUGCGAAGCCGCAAGGCGAAGUAUAGGGGCUGACGCCUGCCCGGUGCUGGAAGGUUAAGAGGAGGGGUUAUCCUUUGGGAGAAGCUCUGAAUCGAAGCCCCAGUAAACGGCGGCCGUAACUAUAACGGUCCUAAGGUAGCGAAAUUCCUUGUCGGGUAAGUUCCGACCCGCACGAAAGGCGUAACGAUCUGGGCACUGUCUCAACGAGAGACUCGGUGAAAUUAUAGUACCUGUGAAGAUGCAGGUUACCCGCGACAGGACGGAAAGACCCCGUGGAGCUUUACUGUAGCCUGAUAUUGAAUUUUGGUACAGCUUGUACAGGAUAGGUAGGAGCCUGAGAAGCCGGAGCGCUAGCUUCGGUGGAGGCGUCGGUGGGAUACUACCCUGGCUGUAUUGAAAUUCUAACCCGCGGCCCUGAUCGGGCCGGGAGACAGUGUCAGGUGGGCAGUUUGACUGGGGCGGUCGCCUCCUAAAAUGUAACGGAGGCGCCCAAAGGUUCCCUCAGAAUGGUUGGAAAUCAUUCGUAGAGUGUAAAGGCACAAGGGAGCUUGACUGCGAGACCUACAAGUCGAGCAGGGACGAAAGUCGGGCUUAGUGAUCCGGUGGUUCCGCAUGGAAGGGCCAUCGCUCAACGGAUAAAAGCUACCCCGGGGAUAACAGGCUUAUCUCCCCCAAGAGUCCACAUCGACGGGGAGGUUUGGCACCUCGAUGUCGGCUCAUCGCAUCCUGGGGCUGUAGUCGGUCCCAAGGGUUGGGCUGUUCGCCCAUUAAAGCGGUACGCGAGCUGGGUUCAGAACGUCGUGAGACAGUUCGGUCCCUAUCCGUCGUGGGCGUAGGAAAUUUGAGAGGAGCUGUCCUUAGUACGAGAGGACCGGGAUGGACACACCGCUGGUGUACCAGUUGUCUUGCCAAAGGCAUCGCUGGGUAGCUAUGUGUGGACGGGAUAAGUGCUGAAAGCAUCUAAGCAUGAAGCCCCCCUCAAGAUGAGAUUUCCCAUAGCGCAAGCUAGUAAGAUCCCUGAAAGAUGAUCAGGUUGAUAGGUCAGAGGUGGAAGCGUGGCGACAUGUGUAGCUGACUGAUACUAAUCGAUCGAGGACUUAACCAA
This 2934-nucleotide ribosomal RNA is filed under the name Priestia megaterium. Its description in RNAcentral is "bacterial LSU rRNA". It matches the Rfam family "Bacterial large subunit ribosomal RNA". Lineage: Bacteria; Bacillati; Bacillota; Bacilli; Caryophanales; Bacillaceae. The record is from RNAcentral.